RNAcentral lists this unclassified non-coding RNA (144 nucleotides) under uncultured Capnodiales. RNAcentral describes it as "sequence contains ITS1". Lineage: Eukaryota; Fungi; Ascomycota; Dothideomycetes; Capnodiales. The record is from RNAcentral.
CCGAGAGAGGGUGCCUCGCGCGCCCGACCUCCCAACCCUUUGUCGACCACACCGCGUUGCCUCGGGGCCGUCCUCACGGGCGCCCCAGAGGACGUCAACCAAACUCUUGCGUCUUUGCGUCGGAGUCAUUAUGUGAAUCAAUCA